Molecule: long non-coding RNA, 566 nt
Organism: Strongylocentrotus purpuratus (purple sea urchin)
Lineage: Eukaryota; Metazoa; Echinodermata; Echinoidea; Camarodonta; Strongylocentrotidae
Exons: 4
Source: RefSeq, a predicted model, not a curated record
CAAAGACGUUUAAAUAUAAUUACUAGACGGAAAGCAGCACGCGCGGAAACCAUGCAGACGAAUGGGAUUAGGCUCCGCCUCUUUUGGAUCAUUUGAAGACAAAAUAAGCUACCGAGGCGGCUUUUUGAUUGGAUAUGAGCCUCAUGAAUAUGUAUUUUAUCGAUAGUAUCGUUUAAGAAACCGGAUAAUAUAUUUGACCUCAUUGCGUCACUUUAAUUAUGCAGAUUUAUGCACGACGCUACUACACUCGCACAAACUGAGAAGAGUUAGUUCAUUGAGAAUGGAAUGAAACUGAUGAAGAUCUGGAAGGAGUUAACUGAUGAGUGGACAUUAAAACAUUUCUUAUAUUUGCAAGAUGAAGCAGAAAGUCCCAUGCAGGAUGAUGCUUCUCUACAGUGGACGAUGAAGGCAUGCUGGUUUACAAACUCAGGAGAGGAACAAAGAACAGAUAUUGACGGAUCAUAUCUAGAAAUGCGGGCCUACUACACUUCAUACAAGCAAGUGUGCUAAUAUACAUACUUGGGUUAUCAUUACAGCCCUUUCUUCUGAAAACUAGGCUACAACUU